CGUUAAAGUCACCCACGUGUUCAUAUAACAAGCUUCCAAACAGUUACUCUUCAAAAGAGAUCCUGUGUAUAAGCAUGACAUAAUAUAAAUUCCACAAUAUCACUUAUACGCCAUAACCGAGCGCGCAAAUAGUUACAAUGUAUAAUAUUAAAAUCGACAAUUUGUCAAUGCCAUCUAGGAACUUACAGGGCAACGAAAAAUGCAGGUUCACAUGUCGCCCAAGAGUCAAGAGUCGCGUAGGCAUGUCGCAGAUGUCUAAAGGAUCGGAUCGCGGGAGAACAGUGUCGUGCUUGAGCCCUUUUAAGGUUAUGUAUAUUUCUUGCGUUUGGACGUAGGUACGCAUACUGGACGUUGGCAAGACCGCCGACGUCGCAGCGAGAAACACCGGACAGGGAACAGUUUUGAUGGGACCGAGACGCCGCGUGACAUUGAAUACAGAUCGAUGGGCCGGUUCGUCGAUCGACUUUGUCCGUGGACAAAUUUAUGAAAACGAGGCUUGAACAAUAGCCCUUAUUCUUCGGUCGCUAUCAUAGCCGCAUUCCUUCCCGCACGUUUAUACGGAAUUUAUCGAGAGAACUCUCAAAAGAUAUCAUUACGGACGGAUACUGGAUAUUUCCGCAAAGCAAGAGAUGCAGCUUCUAAGAGACGUAAAUUCCGAGCGUCUCUCUGCCAGCCAUCUGUUACGCCCACGCAGAGCGCGCAUCCCUUUAUAAAAACGGGAACAAGUUUCGCUGGAACAAGAGUGCAAGCCAGUGGUUUAUUCGCGUAUUGAAUAUCACGAACCAGGAACCUAAGGACAACCCGUCGAAGGACAACCGAAUACGUUCACUGGAUCCGAUUCAAUGCCAGGGACAUUCACGGGCGUGGUGACGUGAAAUCAGAGCAGAUCCUCAACGACCGACUCGAUUCGGUCUCAAACCUGCUACGUGGGCCACCAUGUUAAUUUACGAGCGACAGUUUCCUUGCGGAUCAACUUUUGCCGGAAGCCUGCUGACCUUGCCCUGGGCAAGUUCGAUUUUGACGUAACAGGAUACCAAAGUGGCUUCUGGUGAAACUUCUUUCAUCUGAUUAUUUUUAGCGAGGCAACUUCAUUCGGUGACUGACCUGUAAUGGCGAGACGGAUGCUGUCGCUAGAUCAAUCGGUACAACCAGGGUCAACCUGAUCCUGAGAAUAAACGCUGCCAGAGGUGGCUAAUGGACUUUUUACCUGGCUACAGUCGAUCCCUCGUGAUUUAUGGGGGUCGAUCGGGGUGCGAGAAGUACUGGAGUUACUUGAGAACCAGCCAGCAUAUUUUCACGACGCGCAUUGCUAAGUACUCGAGGUCGUUCGAUGCACCAGAGUCGAGUCUGCCCAACGUGCCGGAGCACAACUUUCCGUCUUGAGAUCGGUUGAUCUUCCAUGGGUACUUGGUACAUGUCUUAGACUGCGAAGGGCGUCCUGAAAGGCAUCUGAAAUAUUCCCAGCGAUAACCCAUCACGUCCUGAGAAAAGAUAAUCAUCUUUUUUCAAUGAAACCUUUAAUCUACAUUUAUGUCAGCCCUACUAACUUCAUUUACAAUUCAAAUCUUCGCGCGUAGUUUAUACUAGAUUUCCAUUUACGGCGAAUCAAUUUUGUGCCUUUUUAUUUAUCUCAGUCGUACGUACGUGUCGGGAUUAUUUGAAAAUAUAUUAACUACAUCCGCCACUGGGAUUUUUAAUGGCAACACUACGAUGGUUCCACGAGCCUCUAGAGAGGCUCCAACAAAUGGACGUAUUCGUGUAAACUGUAUCUACGUGUAGUGAUUUUAACACGGGUGUCAAUCCGAAAGAGGCAUUUCUUAAUGCGUUCCACCCAUUAUGAUCUUGUUCUCCAUCCACCAGUCUUACUCUUUAGAGUUUCAAGGAUCCUCAGUCGACGCAAUAUGAUAUCCUGACGACUUCUUGGAUUUAACACGAACUAUAGGGCAUCUUAUGUUUCAGGAUAUUAUAAAAAUGUAUCGCACUGACGUUCAGGGUCAAAAUGCUUACAUUCUGCCAAGUCAUAUAUAUAUUUAUUGCAUACGUGAAUUACCAGGUCGACAUAAAAUCCUUUUUGUGUCUGGAUACGCCUUUCUUUCUUUUAUGCACGGCGAAAAUUCUGCACGGAUAAUUUGCAGAAGAAAAUAAUUCACAAUAAAAUUACCUGCGUACCGUGCGUAGACAGUAAUUACAGAGAAAUAUCUUUACUCGGUCCUUACGAUCGCAAUUUUGUUAAUUUAAAAUUACUCUUAAAAGAAUUAAACGAACCACCCUGUAUUAUAUCGAAAACACAAGUACCAGUGCGUUCUUGCAAAACUAAUGCGUUACCCGGUAUAAAAUUCUCCAAUUCCAAGGAACAGGGUAGUAUUUGUCCAUCACCGUGGUUUUAUUUCUCUAUCCACAACCAGACGAAUCUUUCACGCGAAAAUCCAUAGUUGUUUCAUAUUUUGACUCCGUCGUGCGUUAAACUUUCAUUAUGCUUCCUCUAUUGUUUAAAAUUCCUCGAAAAGCAUCGCCGCGAAUCCAGCAUUACCUGCAAUUCGUAGUAUAUAGAUCCGCAGUCUAGCGUGUAUCACGAUAUUCUCCCAUUAUUGUAGUAGAUUCUAUACACACUCCUACCACUAUGUCUAUAUAUAUCGUCCAAUUGUAAGCCCAUGUAAAAAUGAACUGAAAUUAGUUCCUCGGUUACUCAAUAACUCGACUACCAAAGCCAGUUACCGUUAUCACCCUUCCAGCUAGUCACUGGCAUUACUGUUACGCAUAAUGCGAGUACCAUUAGCAACAAGGUAUAUAUGUAUAUAUAUAUAUAUAUACACACAAUGAUCUCAGUUCUUAAAUACAUAGUACUCAUAUAUGUUUUAAACUCAGUACCCAUGUGAGAGGAUCUGUAGUGGAUGAUCUAUAAAUAGAUAACCAACGAUAAACGCGUUGGCCCAAUACAAAAUAUAAUAGCCUAAUGGCUGAAGUAGUACCUGCAUGGCCACGAUGCAUUAAAGAAUGUAAUCUGCCUCCUGCUAAUAGCGAAAGCCAUCAAGAUCAAAAGAUCUCAAAGCCGCCUAUCAUCCUCCGGAACUUGUAUUCUCAUGGUUUGGGAUUCGUGCACCGUACCUCUUAUCGCCCUCGUGUGGACGCGACCUGGCAGAGGCGUCAUCGUUGAAUCAGUUCCAGUCAUUUAAAAGCACCUCCUGGAAGGAAGUUUCCUGCGAGCAAAGGACACGGAUCCUUGCAAACGGCAUGUACAGUGUAGGCGAGUCGCAAUCUGAAGAAUAUCUCGGGGCAACCAAGACCAAGUCCAAGAGUGGAGUCUGUUAUUGUAGGUAAGAGAACUCGCUGAUUUUACGGGUGUCUAUUUGUCUUCUCUUGCAGAGGCCGUGGCAUCGAGAGCCGAUACAACACGUGUGGGAAGUAGACACAUCGGUAGGCUAAAAACCGGCCUCUAAAAUAAAAUAAAAAAGGAACAGAGACGUUCGUAACUUUAUUCAUGUAGAGAGAGAGAGAGAGGUCUAUGCAAUUUUUCUAUUACCUUUUGUUGCUCUCUUAGAUACGUACUGCGCACGGAGGAGGUAUGACUUUCCUGGUGAGAUUCUUUUAAAUUUUAUUCACCAAGCAAACGCGGACCUGCAAGCUGCUUUUAUGGGAGACAAUUUACGGUGCAGAUUCUGAAGCUGAUCCUGGGAUGCAACAGGUUAAUAAGAACGCCGGAGAGACCGUGUAAAUGCUCGUGGUACGUUGAAGAGAAAAAAAUGUGUGAAUUCCUUUCUUCAAUGCGGAAUUUAUCCACGUGGCGAUCCUCCUGGAUAGUCACUUGGUAUCCUGAUACGAUAUGUUUGUUAGGCGGACGGUUGAAACUUUUUGAACAAUUUUCAAACCCUUUGACCACACCCAUACUUAUGGUUUUGCACGUCCAUGGUGGACUGAUUGUGAAUGUACGUAUGUCAGAGAUCCGGUCACAUGUUUGUGGAGGUCGCUUAUGUCGUAAACAUAAUGCAGUCAAGAUGGAGACCACACCCGGCGUAUAUACUGACUUUAUGUCGUGCGUACGUUUUACUCGUAUCCGACGCCAUCCAUAACCCGACAGGAAGGAACAUUUCGGUUUGAAAAAUGAGAAUGGUGAUGGCUGUAAUGUUACUUCGGGAGAACGACGUCGCAGCCCGUUAAGAUAUUCAGUAUAAAUAAUAUGUAGGGUCAUUGGGUUUAUGCAAGAGAACAAUCUUUGUUAUAUUGAACUUACAAAAUUAUUCUAGAGAUUUUAUUGUCUGUGGGACUGUUAAUGGCGGCGAGGAAGAAUUAUUACUUGCUUAUAAUAAAUAAAUCGGUAGAUUUUUAGAUGUAGUUACAGCCGCUGGAUACUUCUCAAUUAUCUAUCAUUCCAGCAGAGAGAAUCAAAAAAUCUUCUCUUUGUUUGGUCACGCAUGUCCAGUUGUGAAGUUUAUCUCGGCGGGGUAGCUACGUUUUAGUCUUGUUCUCACCGAGGUGGACAGUAGACAUCGUGGGCGUUCCUUGACUCCCGGACUUAUCAGAUCGCUAAUUUGUUGUCAACGUGACUGCAUUGUCUAUCCGUCCUUGGAUCUGCCACCCACGGAUCACCGGAAGAGAUCGUGGAACCAGAGCGCUACGCCCGAGAGGAUUUUAAAUAGAAUUCUCAUCCAAAUAAACUUAGUUGUUAGCAUAACUUAUCUUAGAUGGAGGCGCCAUUACUAUUUCGAGUAACACUAUCAAUAUAUUUAUUGUUAUAAAUAUCUUUAUUACACGGAUGAUGUUUAUCAUUCUACGACAGCAGACACACUUUACAAAAUUACAACAAUCGUGUAUCAGUGUCUAUUUUCAUUUUAAAAUAUAAAAUAUAUUGUUGCGAUUGA
Molecule: long non-coding RNA, 4856 nt
Organism: Cephus cinctus (wheat stem sawfly)
Lineage: Eukaryota; Metazoa; Arthropoda; Insecta; Hymenoptera; Cephidae
Exons: 5
Source: RefSeq, a predicted model, not a curated record